Heterocephalus glaber (naked mole-rat) is the source of this 1708-nucleotide long non-coding RNA. NCBI's taxonomy places the organism in Eukaryota, Metazoa, Chordata, Mammalia, Rodentia, Bathyergidae. The record is from Ensembl.
GGACAUUUAAGGCUGUUCCUAGUGGCAAUGGGGCUGGCUCAGCACAUCCGUUGUCAGUCACUUUCUCUUUUCUAAGUACUUUCUGUGCCAUUUAAGCAGACGAUGGUGACACUGGUGUUAAGCGUGCGACUUCUACAGCCUACACUGCCGGCAUAGGGAGGGACCCAGGAGGUUGCAAGGUGUUUUAAUGUCCUUCCUCUCUUGCCAGCACUACUUUUUGCUCUUGCGUUUUGUUUUGUUUUGUUUUGCAAAAGAGGCAACAGCGAUCUGCAGACUCUGCUUUCUGCCUUGUACCAGAGAGCCACAGUAUAUGUUCGAUCAUGUAACACACUGGUGUUUAGUUCAUUCUUGCUGCGAAAGAAGGCCAUUGUACUUCCUGACCCCAAAAGCAAGGGACGGUGGCUGCUACAUGCAGUUUCAGAUCAAUCUGCUAUCGUCACUGUGCCUGAGACCCAAAUAAUUUCUCUGUCAACUCUGGACACUUUGAAGUGAGUGGGGACUUUUUUGAUUGGCAUAAACUGCCUGCAUGCAUCCAGAGGACAGAGAAUCAACAGUGAUAACCCUCCUCCCUCCCACUCCAUCUGUAUCAUUUUGCUAAAAAGCCUUAGAGGAAAUGUGUCUUCUUCAAGCAGAAAAAAUUUAAUUUUGGCUGAAUUGAAUGAGAGAAGCCAGGACUAUUCAAAUGGCCUCUGUAUUCUGUCAUUGGCACAAAGGCGAAGACAAGGCCCUGGAUCCUAAGUAGGAAUCUACCUGGACUCACAGCAGUGUCCGCCUGCUGGACAGAAUCUCUUGAACCCCUGGGGAAGGAACUCUAUCUGCCAGUGCCUUGUACGUGAUAUGAGUCUUAUACUCGUAUUAAUGAUGAUACCUCUUCCAUCAAUAUCUUGGAUUAUUACCAGUGUCUGGAAGAAAUUUUAUUGGCUGCUGCAGUUCAUUGAGAAUUAAUUGAUAUGACACCCUUACUCUACAUGAACUUGGAAAAAAGUCUGUCAAGUAAUAUCAUGACCCCAGGGGACUGUGGUGAAAGAGAGGAAUGCUGGAUCUUCUCUUCUGGAACAGACAUUGCAGAGGAAGAGAUGGAUGAUGAACAGAGAGAAAACAAAAUUUUAAAAAUGAGAAAAAGAUUUCAAAGAAAAUGUGGGAGUCCAUGGAGAGAGCUGGACAGAACGGCAAAGACAUUGAGAACACGGGAUUAUCAGAGUGAGAGGAAGGUGUGGUGGCCGGAGCUGCAGCAGCCUAAGGAGCAGAGAGGACGCCAGGAUCAGAAGGAUGUCACCGGGAAGCCACAGGCUGUGUUGAGUGGUAGCCAGUGGUGACGGUGGUGGCAGGCCUUGAAUACAGAGUUUACUGUAGGGAAGGAAGACCACUAACAGUUUUGGGUAGGAGAAUGAUGUCAUAAAAAUGGCUUUUUAUGAGGAUUAGUCAAGUGGUGUGUGAGAAAAAGUAGCUCUUUGUUGGCAAAGACACAAGUGCUAUGCCCAUAGCAUAGCAAUUGUCUAAGCAUGAGGAAGUGCUAAUACUGCUCAAGAGAGUGUACAACCACAAGGAUUUAAUAAUUCUCUGGUGAAUUAGGAAAACUAUUUUUAAAUGUCCCAAAGUAUUCAAACAAUCAGCCACAGCUGCUUUCCUUUCUCAAAAAUAACUCAGAAUUAAACUUGGCUCUCAACACACAUGAAAAACAAAAUUAGUUAAUUAUGUAAAAUCCAGG